This 465-nucleotide ribosomal RNA is filed under the name uncultured bacterium. RNAcentral describes it as "partial 16S ribosomal RNA". It matches the Rfam family "Bacterial small subunit ribosomal RNA", at positions 338 to 795 of the family's 1533-position model. The record is from RNAcentral.
CCUACGGGGGGCAGCAGUGGGGAAUAUUGCGCAAUGGGCGAAAGCCUGACGCAGCGACGCCGCGUGAGGGAUGAAGGUCUUCGGAUCGUAAACCUCUGUCAGCAGGGAAGAACGGUCACUGUGCUAAUCAGCAGUGAAUUGACGGUACCUGCAAAGGAAGCACCGGCUAACUCCGUGCCAGCAGCCGCGGUAAUACGGAGGGUGCGAGCGUUAAUCGGAAUUACUGGGCGUAAAGCGCUCGUAGGCGGUAUGUCAAGUCAAGGGUGAAAUCCCCGCGCUCAACGUGGGAACUGCCUUUGAAACUGGCAAACUGGAGUGUGUGAGAGGAUAGUGGAAUUCCAGGUGUAGGAGUGAAAGCCGUAGAUAUCUGGAGGAACAUCAGUGGCGAAGGCGAGUAUCUGGCACAUAACUGACGCUGAGGAGCGAAAGCGUGGGUAGCAAACAGGAUUAGAUACCCCAGUAGUC